This 511-nucleotide ribosomal RNA is filed under the name uncultured Bacillota bacterium. RNAcentral's name for it is "bacterial SSU rRNA". It matches the Rfam family "Bacterial small subunit ribosomal RNA", at positions 366 to 896 of the family's 1533-position model. Lineage: Bacteria; Bacillati; Bacillota. The record is from RNAcentral.
GCACAAUGGGGGAAACCCUGAUGCAGCAACGCCGCGUGAGCGAUGAAGGCCUUCGGGUUGUAAAGCUCUGUCUUCGAGGGACGAUAAUGACGGUACCUGAGGAGGAAGCCACGGCUAACUACGUGCCAGCAGCCGCGGUAAUACGUAGGUGGCAAGCGUUGUCCGGAAUUAUUGGGCGUAAAGGAUGCGUAGGCGGCCUUUUAAGUGGGAUGUGAAAUACCCGGGCUUAACCCGGGAAUGGCAUUCCAAACUGGAAGGCUAGAGUGCAGGAGAGGAAAGUGGAAUUCCCAGUGUAGCGGUGAAAUGCGUAGAGAUUGGGAGGAACACCAGUGGCGAAGGCGACUUUCUGGACUGUAACUGACGCUGAGGCAUGAAAGCGUGGGGAGCAAACAGGAUUAGAUACCCUGGUAGUCCACGCCGUAAACGAUGAGUACUAGGUGUAGGGGAGCCAUUCUCUGUGCCGCAGUUAACACAUUAAGUACUCCGCCUGGGAAGUACGGUCGCAAGACUA